GGUUUUAAAAAUCUAUUAUAUUUAAAAAUCUGGAGUUCCUGUCAUGGCUCAGGUGUUCCCGUCGUGCCUCAGUGGAAUCGAAUCUGACUAGCAUCCAUGAGGAUGCAGGUUCGAUCCCUGGCCAUGCUCAGUGGGUUAAGAAUCCAGUGCUGCUGUGAGCUGUGAUAUAGGUUGCAGAUACAGCUUGGAUCUGGCGUUACUGUGGCUGUGGUGUAGGCCAACAGCUGCAGCUCUGAUUCAACCCCUAGCCCGGGAACCUCCAUAUGCCAUGGGUGCAGCCCUUAAAAAAAAAAAAGAAAAAAAAAGACCAAAAAAAAUCUACUCUUCUUCCAACUACCAGUUUCAACCCCCAAAGUAGGGCACGACACAGUAGCUGCAUAGAUAUUUAGGUAUGGUGGCAAAUCAGCUGGAGCAAGAAGCAGGAUUUGGAAAUGCCCACACAUUCCAAGACCCAGGUGGCUCCAAUAUAUUGGACUGAAAAGGUCAUCUGGGCUAGUGACCGAGGCACAGAAGGAAUUGUUUCUGGAUCCAUCUCAGAAUUACCGGCUCACAAGGACAGCACGAGGCCAUGACGUCAGAAGAACUGUAAUGCAAUUCCAUUCUCCUGGCAACUGUCCCACAUCAGUCUCCCUCUUACCUGCUUGUCUCCAAGGCGAAGUCUCACGGGAAGUGGUUUCACCCACGGGACACGUGGUUUUCUAUACCCCGUGGCUCAGACUCAGGUUUCCCUAGAGACGGGGUGGAUCAAUUGGAUGUACUUGGAGCUCCGUAGUUUUUUAAUAGGCAGUCGCUGGGCCCUCCCUUCCUGCGCCUUGGGGCUUCAUCUUCACUAGACAAAGGAAACCUGGCCCCCCCAAUCAGAGUAGAAUUAAGUAUUCCAUCCCCUUCCUAUUUCUCCCGGGUGAUCCUUGACAUCUCAGGAGGUGUCUAAUGGAGACUUCCUAAAUUCAGUUCCGCUGAGUAUUUAUGCCACAGGAGCCAGGACCAUUAUUGGUGCUGAGAAUGUUCCCUGACAGAAACACAGCCGCUCCUCUGUCAGAGUCCAGUGGAAGCCAGGCUCAGCGCCACUCAGCGUUUUCAUUAGCUCCGGCGGCUGAGCGGAGGCUGACAGGACGGCCGGCGGGGGACGUUCUUGAGUGUAACAUAAUAGAAAAAGUACAGGCUGUGGGGUCAGACAGAUCUGGGUUCAAAAACAGCGUCCGACCAUCACUAGAUGCUUGACCACGAACUUAAUCUCAUUUAGAGUCCGUUUCUUCGAUUCUAAAAGAAAUAGUGUUUAUUUAUUUAUUUUUUUUCUGGCUUUAAGGUAAACAAUUUAUUUCUUUUUGCCACGUAGUGAUAAAACUUCAUAUAGACUUGUACUCACUGGAAAACUUUCCAGUAUUUUCUCCAUUAUUAGCAGGUACUUAGAUGAUAUUAAUUCACAGUAAUUUAACCAACAGAGGAGAGUUAAGAAAUUAUCUGGCUUUUCCAUUUUUUUUUUUUAUUUUAUUUUCCCACUGUACAGCAAGGGGGUCAGGUUAUCCUUAGAUGUAUACAUUGCAAUUACCGUUUUUUCCCCACCCUUUGUUCUGUUGCAAUAUGAGUAUCUAGACAAAGUUCUCAAUGCUAUUCAGCAGGAUCUCCUUGUAAAUCUAUUCUAAGUUGUGUCUGAUAAGCCCAAACUCCCGAUCCCUCCCACUCCCUCCCCCUCCCAUCAGGCAACCACAAGUCUCUUCUCCAAGUCCAUGAGUUUCUUUUCUGAGGAGAAGUGUUUAUUUUUAUAGAGAUGCUGUAGGUGAAACAUAAAACGAGCAAAGUCCCUAGCGCAGUGACUGACCCAAAGCAACGAUAAUUAUGAUGACACUUAAGUAGUGCUUCUUAUGUACCCGGCGCUGUUGCAUGUGUUAGGUCUAUGUCACAACAACCCCAUGAGACAGGUCCUGGUGAUAUUACCGAGUUAUAAACAUGGAGCCAAAGCACAGAGACAUCAAGUAACCGGCCUCAAAUGGCAGAGCGAGGAGAGUGACCCAGGCAGCCUGGCUGCAGGGGCCAAGAACCUGGGUUCUUGCUCCUAAAGUGCAAGAACAAGGCAUGUUUUACUUGCUUAAAGAAACUCCUCUUUUUCCCCCUUUCUUACAAUUCUUAACAGCAUAGUUAAUCUUUCUGGGUAGAGAGAGAGAAAUUAAGGAGACACCUGUAUGUCUCCCUUCCUGGAUCUUGUUUUCACCUCUUCCGUGAAAAGUUUGAGAGGCUAGGACUGCUUUGGUAAGCUCCCAUUUCAUCCACAAGCACACACUGAGCGCCUGUGGCAUGCCAAGCACUGGCCUGGGCGCUAGGGGAACAGGGGUGAGCCUCUCCCCUCCUUAUCCCCCCCCCCACCGCCCCCUGCUGGGACUCAGGGUCCACGUGGACGCGCUGAGGCGCAAAGACCAAAGGAUGAGCUUUGGACCAUGGGAUGGCUCACCCAGCCCUGCCUCCUCAUCGGCUUCCAAAGAGGCUUGUGUGAACCCCUAACUAAAGCCAGUUCUGGGUCAUGCCAGGAGAGCCUUCUCCAGCCUGGCUCUGCUUUGCUGGUUUGCUCCUAAAACAGCAAGCACAUUGUUCCUAACUCCUGGACACACUUGCCAGCAGCAGCUCAGGACCUUCCAGAAAUUGCUUGGCUUUUAUAUAGCAGGUUUUAAUUUUAACUCCCUUUCCUUUUUUUUUUUUUUUUAAUCAAAAAUUAAUUAAAACACCAUGGCAAGCCCAGAGUUCACUCACUCUGGCAAGAAAGGAAAGUGAAAGGAAGAGAAAAGAGAAAACACUUUUCAUUAUCUGCCACACCUGGGUUGGCAGAGUCCUCAACAGUUUUGCUGAGGCUGGAAUUCAAGACAAUUCCUCCUCCAACCCAAACACUCUUGCUGAGGCUCCCAGCAGGGGUGCACGUGGGCUUUCUUUACAGCUUUCCAGAGCUACAGGAUUGAUUUUCUGCUGGAGUCGCCACAUAUCAAUGCAUCUACAGUCCUCCUUCCAGGAAUUAUCAGACUCCGGGGAGAUAAUAAGAAAGGAACUGAAACUAUUUUUGAAAAGUUUUCCAAAGCUGGCGAAUGCCAUAUAAGGCCCCCACUGGCUUUCAUUUUUGCUGGGCUGGAGGGAGGUAGGGGGGAACACGAGGCGAUUGUGUGGUUGGAAGCUGGAGCCAAGGCCUCCUUACUCUGAAUUAAGACUUGGGAAGCAGAAUUUCCCCUGGGGCCCUGGUGCUGACUUGGAGUUGAGAUCUUACAGAAGACUCUGCAGAGUGGGAAAACAGUUGUCUACUAUGCUUGUGCAACAGCAUGAGAGAUCCUUUUGCUUGAAGACUCUCCAUGGGGUGAGCUAGGAAGGCUGAACUUGAAAAAGCCGAGAAGCCAUGGGCAAGGAAGGGAAACUGGGUUGACUCUGGGCCUUAGGGUAGACAGUGCCUCCCGUGCCUUGUCCUGUGUCUUAGGUUAGAGUCUCCAGAAGCAGGCGCAGAGUGACCCAUGUAAGGAAUGUUUCAGGAAAAUCGGUAGGUGGUUGGGAAGUCACUCAGAAGAGAGGGAUGCUGGGUAAGGGUGCCCAUGGCGCAAAUCCCCAGGAAGGGAAGUGGUGCCGUGAGACUUACGCUCUCUCCAGAGCCUCCCUGCAACCUUCUCCUUAGUCCUGAUGAGGCCCAGGGAGGCUGGACUAUUUAUAUCCUUCUCCCGUCCGUCCUCCAUUGGUUAAGGGCUGUCACCUCUGCAAGGAUGCAAAUUCCCAUUAUCACUUUCUUUAAGCAGCAGAGUCGUUCCAGAACCCUGAAGGAAGCCCUCUGACAAAAGAGGCCCCUGGAGCUGGGGUGCUUGAAAAUGAUACAGGACUCCCAGGGGAUGUGGGCCGAGCACAGCCUGCUGGGCUGUAUCUUGUCUGGACCCAUCAGCCCUAGGCUGGCAGGGCCUCAGAGAGUAGGUUCAGUUAUCUCUAAGAGCAGCUCUGCUGGAGCAGUUCCUGGCAGAGAGAAGGAUCUGGGUGGCCACUGGUGGUUUGUGAGUGACCCGGACUCUGCUGCCGAUCCCAGAGUCACUCCCCGGGAGUGUGCUCCUUGUCUCACCUUUACUUGUUCUGUCCCCACGUCCCUGUGGGUGGAGCUGGGGGUCAUGGUCACAGUGGUGCCUUAGCUGGAGGACAGCAGUGUGCAUCUCUCUUUUC
This 4167-nucleotide long non-coding RNA is filed under the name Sus scrofa (pig). RNAcentral's name for it is "lncRNA (ENSSSCG00065014172.1)". Lineage: Eukaryota; Metazoa; Chordata; Mammalia; Artiodactyla; Suidae. The record is from RNAcentral.